GUGCCAAAGAAGGAUAGAAUUUUUUUUAUGUAUGCCACAACAGCAGCAAGAAUUCUCAUUGCAAAGCAUUGGAAGACACAAGAUCUACCCACCUUGGAAGAAUGGCAGAUGAAGGUGAUGGACUAUAUGGAAUUGGCGGAAAUGACUGACAGAAUCCGAGACCAGGGAGAAGAGUCGAUGGAAGAAGAUUGGAAAAAGUUUAAAGACUAUUUACAGAAAUAUUGCAAAAUUAAUGAAUGUUAGAAUGAUGUUGGAUAGAAACUAAGUGGUCUUUAGCUGAAAUGUUAUAAG
Molecule: long non-coding RNA, 291 nt
Filed under: Podarcis lilfordi (Lilford's wall lizard)
Lineage: Eukaryota; Metazoa; Chordata; Lepidosauria; Squamata; Lacertidae
Source: RNAcentral